Molecule: ribosomal RNA, 258 nt
Filed under: uncultured bacterium
Lineage: Bacteria
Description: partial 16S ribosomal RNA
Rfam family: Bacterial small subunit ribosomal RNA
Source: RNAcentral
UGGCGGACGGGUGAGUAACGCGUGGGCAACCUGCCCUGUACAGGGGGAUACCGCCUGGAAACAGGCGCUAAUACCGCAUAAGCGCAUACAGCCGCAUGGCAGUAUGCGGAAAGCUCCGGCGGCACGGGAUGGGCCCGCGCCCGAUUAGCCAGUUGGCGGGGUAACGGCCCACCAAAGCGACGAUCGGUAGCCGGCCUGAGAGGGCGGACGGCCACAUUGGGACUGAGACACGGCCCAAACUCCUACGGGAGGCAGCAG